UGCAGUCGAGCGGACAGAAGGGAGCUUGCUCCCGGAUGUUAGCGGCGGACGGGUGAGUAACACGUGGGUAACCUGCCUGUAAGACUGGGAUAACUCCGGGAAACCGGAGCUAAUACCGGAUAGUUCCUUGAACCGCAUGGUUCAAGGAUGAAAGACGGUUUCGGCUGUCACUUACAGAUGGACCCGCGGCGCAUUAGCUAGUUGGUGGGGUAAUGGCUCACCAAGGCGACGAUGCGUAGCCGACCUGAGAGGGUGAUCGGCCACACUGGGACUGAGACACGGCCCAGACUCCUACGGGAGGCAGCAGUAGGGAAUCUUCCGCAAUGGACGAAAGUCUGACGGAGCAACGCCGCGUGAGUGAUGAAGGUUUUCGGAUCGUAAAGCUCUGUUGUUAGGGAAGAACAAGUGCGAGAGUAACUGCUCGCACCUUGACGGUACCUAACCAGAAAGCCACGGCUAACUACGUGCCAGCAGCCGCGGUAAUACGUAGGUGGCAAGCGUUGUCCGAAAGUUAUUGGGCGUAAAGGGCUCGCAGGCGGUUUCUUAAGUCUGAUGUGAAAGCCCCCGGCUCAACCGGGGAGGGUCAUUGGAAACUGGGAAACUUGAGUGCAGAAGAGGAGAGUGGAAUUCCACGUGUAGCGGUGAAAUGCGUAGAGAUGUGGAGGAACACCAGUGGCGAAGGCGACUCUCUGGUCUGUAACUGACGCUGAGGAGCGAAAGCGUGGGGAGCGAACAGGAUUAGAUACCCUGGUAGUCCACGCCGUAAACGAUGAGUGCUAAGUGUUAGGGGGGUUUCCGCCCCUUAGUGCUGCAGCUAACGCAUUAAGCACUCCGCCUGGGGAGUACGGUCGCAAGACUGAAACUCAAAGGAAUUUGACGGGGGGCCCGCACAAGCGGUGGAGCAUGUGGUUUAAUUUCGAAGCAACGCGAAGAACCUUACCAGGUCUUGACAUCCUCUGACAACCCUAGAGAUAGGGCUUUCCCUUCGGGGACAGAGUGACAGGUGGUGCAUGGUUGUCGUCAGCUCGUGUCGUGAGAUGUUGGGUUAAGUCCCGCAACGAGCGCAACCCUUGAUCUUAGUUGCCAGCAUUCAGUUGGGCACUCUAAGGUGACUGCCGGUGACAAACCGGAGGAAGGUGGGGAUGACGUCAAAUCAUCAUGCCCCUUAUGACCUGGGCUACACACGUGCUACAAUGGACAGAACAAAGGGCUGCGAGACCGCAAGGUUUAGCCAAUCCCAUAAAUCUGUUCUCAGUUCGGAUCGCAGUCUGCAACUCGACUGCGUGAAGCUGGAAUCGCUAGUAAUCGCGGAUCAGCAUGCCGCGGUGAAUACGUUCCCGGGCCUUGUACACACCGCCCGUCACACCACGAGAGUUUGCAACACCCGAAGUCGGUGAGGUAACCUUUAUGGAGCCAGCCGCCGAAGGUGGGGCAGAUGAUUGGGGGAA
RNAcentral lists this ribosomal RNA (1448 nucleotides) under Bacillus pumilus. RNAcentral's name for it is "bacterial SSU rRNA". It matches the Rfam family "Bacterial small subunit ribosomal RNA". The record is from RNAcentral. Lineage: Bacteria; Bacillati; Bacillota; Bacilli; Caryophanales; Bacillaceae.